AAUAGAUACCCAGGUAGUCCACGCCGUAAACGAUGAGUGCUAAGUGUUAGAGGGUUUCCGCCCUUUAGUGCUGAAGUUAACGCAUUAAGCACUCCGCCUGGGGAGUACGGCCGCAAGGCUGAAACUCAAAGGAAUUGACGGGGGCCCGCACAAGCGGUGGAGCAUGUGGUUUAAUUCGAAGCAACGCGAAGAACCUUACCAGGUCUUGACAUCCUCUGAAAACUCUAGAGAUAGGGCCUCUCCUUCGGGAGCAGAGUGACAGGUGGUGCAUGGUUGUCGUCAGCUCGUGUCGUGAGAUGUUGGGUUAAGUCCCGCAACGAGCGCAACCCUUGAUCUUAGUUGCCAUCAUUAAGUUGGGCACUCUAAGGUGACUGCCGGUGACAAACCGGAGGAAGGUGGGGAUGACGUCAAAUCAUCAUGCCCCUUAUGACCUGGGCUACACACGUGCUACAAUGGACGGUACAAAGAGCUGCAAGACCGCGAGGUGGAGCUAAUCUCAUAAAACCCGUUCUCAGUUCGGA
Molecule: ribosomal RNA, 521 nt
Filed under: uncultured bacterium
Lineage: Bacteria
Description: bacterial SSU rRNA
Rfam family: Bacterial small subunit ribosomal RNA
Source: RNAcentral